AACGAACGCUGGCGGCAUGCCUAACACAUGCAAGUCGAACGAAGCCUUCGGGCUUAGUGGCGCACGGGUGCGUAACGCGUGGGAAUCUGCCCUUUGGUUCGGAAUAACAGUUGGAAACGAGUGCUAAUACCGGAUGAUGACGAAAGUCCAAAGAUUUAUCGCCAGAGGAUGAGCCCGCGUAGGAUUAGCUAGUUGGUGUGGUAAGGGCGCACCAAGGCGACGAUCCUUAGCUGGUCUGAGAGGAUGAUCAGCCACACUGGGACUGAGACACGGCCCAGACUCCUACGGGAGGCAGCAGUGGGGAAUAUUGGACAAUGGGCGAAAGCCUGAUCCAGCAAUGCCGCGUGAGUGAUGAAGGCCCUAGGGUUGUAAAGCUCUUUUACCCGGGAUGAUAAUGACAGUACCGGGAGAAUAAGCCCCGGCUAACUCCGUGCCAGCAGCCGCCGUAA
Molecule: ribosomal RNA, 449 nt
Filed under: uncultured bacterium
Lineage: Bacteria
Description: partial 16S ribosomal RNA
Rfam family: Bacterial small subunit ribosomal RNA
Source: RNAcentral